GUGGGGAAUAUUGCACAAUGGGGGAAACCCUGAUGCAGCAACGCCGCGUGAGUGAUGACGGUCUUCGGAUUGUAAAACUCUGUCUUCAGGGACGAUAAUGACGGUACCUGAGGAGGAAGCCACGGCUAACUACGUGCCAGCAGCCGCGGUAAUACGUAGGUGGCAAGCGUUGUCCGGAUUUACUGGGCGUAAAGGGAGCGUGGGUGGAUAUUUAAGUGGGAUGUGAAAUCCCCGGGCUUAACCUGGGGGCUGCAUUCCAAACUGGAUGUCUAGAGUGCAGGAGAGGAGAGCGGAAUUCCUAGUGUAGCGGUGAAAUGCGUAGAGAUUAGGAAGAACACCAGUGGCGAAGGCGACUCUCUGGACUGUAACUGACACUGAGGCUCGAAAGCGUGGGGAGCAAACAGGAUUAGAUACCCCAGUAGUCC
RNAcentral lists this ribosomal RNA (425 nucleotides) under uncultured bacterium. RNAcentral describes it as "partial 16S ribosomal RNA". It matches the Rfam family "Bacterial small subunit ribosomal RNA", at positions 354 to 796 of the family's 1533-position model. The record is from RNAcentral.